RNAcentral lists this ribosomal RNA (450 nucleotides) under uncultured bacterium. RNAcentral's name for it is "partial 16S ribosomal RNA". It matches the Rfam family "Bacterial small subunit ribosomal RNA", at positions 338 to 795 of the family's 1533-position model. The record is from RNAcentral.
CCUACGGGGGGCUGCAGUGAGGAAUAUUGCGCAAUGGAGGCAACUCUGACGCAGCCAUGCCGCGUGCAGGAAGAAGGCGCUACGCGUUGUAAACUGCUUUUAACCGGGAAGAAACCCCAGGACGUGUCCUGGGUUGACGGUACCGGAGGAAUAAGCACCGGCUAACUUCGUGCCAGCAGCCGCGGUAAUACGAAGGGUGCAGGCGUCAUCCGGAUUCAUGGGGUCUUAAGUGUGGGGAGGUGGGGGGUGUGAAAGCCUACAGCUCAACUGUAGAAUUGCCAUUGAUACUGGCGCUCUUGAGUGCGCUUGAAGUAGGCGGAAUGUGCCGUGUAGCGGUGAAAUGCUUAGAUAUGGCACAGAACACCAAUUGCGAAGGCAGCUUACUAAGGCGAUACUGACACUGAGGCACGAAAGCGUGGGGAUCGAACAGGAUUAGAUACCCCAGUAGUC